CUGUCACAGCAAUUUUUCUUCUGUUUAUACAUUGAUGAACUUUUUUAUGAUAGACACCAAUAUUGGAAUAUCCUUUAUCUGUGAGAAUUUUUAUAUACACCCACGGCAAAAGUUGGAGGUGAUAUCUUACAAACUUUGAUCUCAUUGAUUGCGUCCCCUGAUGAAGUCCUGUAAGGACGAAACGCGUUGGGCACUCACGCAUUUGUGAUUUGAACAUACAUCUGAACGCUUCAUUGAGAAAUAGA
Molecule: long non-coding RNA, 245 nt
Organism: Pseudophryne corroboree (corroboree frog)
Lineage: Eukaryota; Metazoa; Chordata; Amphibia; Anura; Myobatrachidae
Exons: 3
Source: RefSeq, a predicted model, not a curated record